Molecule: long non-coding RNA, 282 nt
Filed under: Dasypus novemcinctus (nine-banded armadillo)
Lineage: Eukaryota; Metazoa; Chordata; Mammalia; Cingulata; Dasypodidae
Description: lncRNA (ENSDNOG00000052927.1)
Source: RNAcentral
CACGCCGGCCCCGGGCGGGCGCGAUCCGAGCUGGACGAGGAGCCGGGCGGACGCGCCGACAGGCCGGGCGGACGCGGGCGGCGCGGCUGGUUACUUUGGGCACAGACCUCUUCACUAUUGGACAGAAGAGCCCGACAGCUGUUCUCUCUUAAGGUGUCCUUGAGUGAGGAGAGCAGGGAGUGAAAAAGGAGAAGGAAAGAAAAUUGAUUAAGAAAGGUGGGUACAAAUAACUUUGGAAGGUGAAAUAAAAGGGUUCCCUUGGCAAAUGAGGCUACUAAGCAU